GAACUCGGAAGAAACAGAAUCCAGAUUUACCUGUACCUGGAGCUCCACAGGUGAAACGGCAGUUAAAGCAGAAAAUCUAAUUCAGCUUCUGGAAGUUUUCGUCUCUAAUGGACUCCGGAGUCAUCUCCUGAGCUGUCAGUUUUUGGCCUUGAGGCGCAUGGGAUCUUGGCUGCCUGACCAGGGAUCUAACCCCUUGGUGGAUCUAACCUCCUGCGCUGGAAGGUGAAGUACGACCCUUCUGGACCACCAGGGAAGUCCCUGUAUUCGAUUUCUUAACUGCCAAGAUGUUGUUUCCUUUUUCCUUAAGGUUGAGGUAUUAUCUUUUCCUUGAUUGGAACAGGAAGAUUAAGUCAUUAGCUUCAAAUCUUUUAACCAGCAUAUGGUGAAGACUAGAUUCCGACCCAGUCCUGCCUGACCCCAGAGCCACGCCCUUAGCUGCC
This is a long non-coding RNA of Bubalus bubalis (water buffalo), 440 nucleotides long. RefSeq lists it as uncharacterized. Lineage: Eukaryota; Metazoa; Chordata; Mammalia; Artiodactyla; Bovidae. The record is from RefSeq and is a predicted model, not a curated record. The transcript is spliced from 3 exons.